GACGAACGCUGGCGGCGUGCCUAAUACAUGCAAGUCGAGCGAUGAAGAUUGGUGCUUGCACCUAUUUGAAGAGCAGCGAACGGGUGAGUAACGCGUGGGGAAUCUGCCUUUGAGCGGGGGACAACAUCUGGAAACGAAUGCUAAUACCGCAUAACAACUUUAAACAUAAGUUUUAAGUUUGAAAGAUGCAAUUGCAUCACUCAAAGAUGAUCCCGCGUUGUAUUAGCUAGUUGGUGAGGUAAAAGCUCACCAAGGCGAGGAUACAUAGCCGACCUGAGAGGGUGGUCGGCCACAUUGGGACUGAGACACGGCCCAAACCCCUACGGGAGGCAGCAGUAGGGAAUCUUCGGCAAUGGACGAAAGUCUGACCGAGCAACGCCGCGUGAGUGAAGAAGGGUUUCGGAUCGUAAAACUCUGUUGAUAGAGAAGAACGUUGGUGAGAGUGGAAAGCUCAUCAAGUGACGGUAACUACCCAGAAAGGGACGGCUAACUACGUG
Molecule: ribosomal RNA, 497 nt
Filed under: uncultured bacterium
Lineage: Bacteria
Description: partial 16S ribosomal RNA
Rfam family: Bacterial small subunit ribosomal RNA
Source: RNAcentral